GCAUCAUACAAGGUUGCAAACUAAAUCGCCUGAACUCUGUUGUUGGUGAAUAUGCCAAUGCGUGUUUACAAGUGGCCCAAGACUGUGGGACUGACGUACUUGACCUGUGGACCCUGAUGCAGGACAGCCAGGACUUCUCAUCUUAUUUAUCAGAUGGACUACAUUUGUCUCCAAAGGGGAAUGAAUUUUUGUUCUCGCAUCUCUGGCCUUUGAUAGAGAAAAAGGUCUCUUCUCUACCUUUGCUGCUUCCUUACUGGCGGGAUGUAGCAGAAGCAAAACCUGAAUUAAGUCUGCUGGGAGAUGGAGACCAUUAGCCAAUCACAGGAGACCCAAAUCUGCUUGUUAUCUACAGAACUCAAAGUUGUCAAUACGUAGAGGUACGCUUUUUUCCUCAGGCUUAAACCUUUGCCACUGAUAUUAAUAAUAAAAGUAUUAGAUGAUUUUUCAGGGAAGUUUUAUACUUAGGUCCAUUGUGUUUCGACAGUAUUUAUUAAUGCAGAUAUCAGUGCUACAGCUAUAAAAUAUACCCUGAGCAGCUUGUUAAUUCUAUAAAUGACAAAGACUAUGUUUUUAAAAAGUCACAAUUUUAUAAAAAUGGUUUUUC
RNAcentral lists this long non-coding RNA (604 nucleotides) under Homo sapiens (human). Its description in RNAcentral is "long non-coding RNA NONHSAT181236.1". The record is from RNAcentral. Lineage: Eukaryota; Metazoa; Chordata; Mammalia; Primates; Hominidae.